CGGAGCAGAACUGGCCGGACUUCCCCGAGGAACUGCCGGAUCUACCCCCCAGCCCGGGCUGCGAGGAGCCCUUGCAAUUGGACUUCCCGGGAGCGGACGCCACAGACCAGGAGAGAAACUGAAACAUACUGCGGCGCUGACAGAGACGGCUGUUGCUGCAAUACAGAAGAAUUUUGGAGCACAGCAACUGUAGGUAAUGUUGAAAAACAACCAUGAUAAGGAGGAAAAUUUACUGCAAGAACAAACAGAAGGUUCCUCACAAUACAAAUGGUGAUUAUGAUGAUUGAUCAGACUGCAUAGAGAAGAAGGCUCACUAC
Long non-coding RNA from Mauremys mutica (yellowpond turtle), 317 nucleotides. RefSeq lists it as uncharacterized. NCBI's taxonomy places the organism in Eukaryota, Metazoa, Chordata, Testudines, Geoemydidae. The transcript is spliced from 3 exons. The record is from RefSeq and is a predicted model, not a curated record.